This 68-nucleotide transfer RNA is filed under the name Phascolosoma sp. MZK-2017. RNAcentral's name for it is "tRNA-Ser". The record is from RNAcentral. Lineage: Eukaryota; Metazoa; Annelida; Sipuncula; Phascolosomatiformes; Phascolosomatidae.
AAAGAGUGUUUUGAGCAGUGAAAGACUUCUAAUCUUUCCCUAAGCAGUUAAAUUCUGCUUACUCUUUU